CCGCCGCGCGAGGCCCGGGCCGCCGCUCUGCCCGUGGGCUCGCCGGGCCGUCGCGAUCGUGCGGGCCGCGCCGGGCAUGUCCUAGGCGGCGGCCCCGCCCAGCGCUCGGCCGGCCCGGCUGGAGGGCCAGGGCCGAGCGGGGGCCGAGCCGGGACCGAGCCGGGGCCGAGCCGCAGGGCCCGGCGGCCUCCCCAGCGCCAAGAUGAGCGUCACUUCCUGGUUCCUGGUGAGCAGCAGCGGCACCCGCCACCGGCUGCCCCGAGAGCUCAUCUUCGUGGGGCGGGACGAGUGUGAGCUCAUGCUGCAGUCCCGCAGUGUGGACAAGCAGCAUGCUGUCAUCAACUACGACCAGGACAGGGACGAGCACUGGGUGAAGGACCUGGGCAGCCUAAAUGGGACUUUCGUGAAUGACGUGCGCAUCCCAGACCAGAAGUACGUCACGCUGAAACUCAAUGACGUCAUCCGAUUCGGCUACGAUUCCAACAUGUAUGUGCUGGAGCGCGUGCAGCACCGCGUCCCGGAGGAGGCGCUCAGGCACGAGAAGUACACCAGCCAGCUGCAGGUGGGCAUCAAGAGCCCUGUGCCCAAGAGGGGCGAGGCCCUGCCAGAGCAUGCGCCUUACUGCGAGGCCUCGAACCCCAGGCCAGAGAAAGGGGACCGGAGACUGACAGCAGUUGCAGUCUUCCGUCCUGGCUGUGUUGGGGCCUCAGUGACGCGGGGUCAAACUCUCUGUGCAGAGGCGGCGGCCUACCGCACACCCCUCUAUGGGCAGCCGUCGUGGUGGGGUGAGGACGAUGGUGGCAGCCCUGCUGAGGACCGGCGCCAGGAUGAGUCCUACGCGGAGCGGCCCAAAGAGCCGGCUCAGCAGGGCGGGGACCUCGCGGGGCCCAUGGCCAGCUUCCAGGCCCCGCCAGAGCCUCAGGGCUACUCGUUCCGCCGGGAGCCCAGCUACUUCGAGAUCCCCACCAAGGAGACCCCCCCGCCACGGACCCCGGAGGUGCCGCCGCACGAGGCGCCCACCAGGGACGCAGAGCUGGGCGGGGGCGGCGCGGCCCCCGUGGUACAGAGCCACGCCUGCUUCACCAUCGAGUUUGACGACUGCAGCCCCGGCAAGGUGAAGAUCAAGGACCACGUGACCAAGUUCUCCCUGCGCCAGCGGCGGCCCCCGGGCAGGGAGGCCACGCCUGGUGAGACGGUUUCCGCCGAGACCAAGGUGGCCGACUGGCUGGUGCAGAACGACCCGAGCCUGCUGCCCCGGGCCAGCCCCGGCGACGACCGGCACAGCACCAAGAGCGACCUCCCGGUGCACACCCGGACCCUCAAGGGCCACAGGCAUGAGGACGGCACACAGAGCGACUCGGAGGACCCCGUGGCCAAGGCGGCAGGGGCGGCCGGGGUCCCUGCGGAUGCCGGCGGGGAGCAGGUGCGGCUGCAGCGGCAGAUCAAGCGGGACCCGCAGGAGCUGCUGCACAACCAGCAGGCCUUCGUCAUCGAGUUCUUUGACGAGGACACGCCCCGCAAGAAGCGCUCCCAGUCCUUCACGCACACACCCCCCGGGGACCCCAGGCCAGAGCGGCGCCGAGGCCCCGGGCCGGCCGACAGGGACCGCCCGGCCGCCCCCGCCCCGGCCCCAGCCCGGGGGCCGGGCAGCAGCGCGGGGCCGCAGCGGGCCAGCUCGCUCAAGCGGGAGAAGACAGAGGAGCGGCUGGGCAGCCCCUCGCCCGCCGUCCGGGCCUCUGCCCGCCCCUUCGGCAGCGUGGGGCGCCGUUCCCGCCUGGCCCAGGACUUCAUGGCCCAGUGCCUGAGGGAUGGCUCCCCGGCCGCCCGGCCCGGCCCCGAGAAGCCACCGCCCCCACUGCCCGCUCCCGUGACGCCCCGUGGGGCCAGCCCCGUGGUCCCCUCGACGCCACCGCCACCCCCCGCUGACCCCCACGUGACAAAGGCGCGUAAACAGGAGGAGGACGACAGCCUCAGUGACGCAGGGACCUACACCAUCGAGACGGAGGCGCAGGACCAGGAGGUGGAGGAGGCCCGCAAGAUGAUCGACCAGGUCUUCGGGGUCCUUGAGUCCCCUGAACUCUCCAGAGCAGCCUCGGCCGCCUUCCGCCCAGUCAUCAGAGGGGACAGAGACGAGCCCAGCGACGGGGUGGCCCAGCGGAUGGCCCUGCUGCAGGAUUUUGCCUCCCGGCCAGGUGUCCCGGUGCCGGGCUCCCCCGGGGGUCAGAAGUGGGUGUCCCGCUGGGCCAGCCUAGCUGACAGCUACUCAGACCCAGGCCUGUCAGAGGACGGCGCCGGGCGCAGAGCCGGGGAGCUGGACGGGGCCCUGCCUGUGCGCCAGCGGCGUCUGCUCCCACAGCUGCCCAGCGACAGGGCUGACAGCCCCGCAGGCCCUGAGGCUGCCAGGAGGAGCGGGCCUGGGCCACCGGAGCCGGGCAGCGAGCAGGCUGGCCCCCUCUUAGGGCAAGAGGACCUGGAGCCCGACAGCCUGAGCGACGCCAGCGGCUCAGACGGCGGACGGGGCCCUGAGCCGGGCAGUGGCCCGCAGGAGGGGCUGGCGUGGACGCGGGGCCGGCGCUCACCCAGGGCCCCCAUGGAGCCGGCCCCCACCUCCUUCUUCAUCGGGGACCAGAAUGGGGAGGCAGCCUUCCCCCGGAAAGCGGCUGUGGCUCCAGGCGAGGGGGAGGCCGCAGGGCGGGCGGCCCAGCCCAGCCCCCCGCCGAGGGAUGGGAGGUACGUCAGCACCAGUGGGCGGAUGGUGGUCCAACUGCGGACAGGGCGGUCCCCGGAGCCCCCCAAGGAGGCCCUGGGCCUGGGCAGGCAGGAGAGCUUCACCAAGGAGCCGGCCAGCGGUCCCGCAGCCCCCGGUCAGCUUCCACACAUCCCCAGCCACCCGCUCCUGCAGGACCUGGCCACGGCCCGGGCCGCUCGCAUGGACCUUCACUCUCAGGACACCCACCUGAUCCUGAAGGAGACGGAGACGGCUCUGGCUGCCCUGGAGGCCCGGCUGCUCUCCAAGUCCAUGGAGGAGCCGGAGGGGCAGGUGGGCACUGCCCCCGGGCGGCCAGAGGACUCCGUGUCCGGGGACUCUGACGUGGACACGGCCAGCACUGUCAGCCUGCUCAGUGGCAAGAACGGUCCCAGCCCGACCAGCCCCCAGCCCACGGGGCUGCCGAAGGAGAGGCUGCCGCCCCCGCCAGCAGCACAGGACCCGGGCAGCGGUGCCCUGAACAGCGCCCGCGAGCGGCUCUCUGAGAAGCAGCGUCGCCCACCGGGCCCGACUGACGCCAGCCGGGGAGAGCCAGCGAGGCGCCUGGCCGUGCGGCGUGGCCAUGGGCCCCGGGGGUCCCUGGACUGGCCCGAUGAGGAACGAGGCUCCACCCCUGCCCACCCGCCCGGGCCAGACACGGGCCCUUCCGACCACGAGGCCCCUGCAGCCCCUGCGGCAGGACGGCCAGGGCCUCGCCGAAAACCCACGGCCCCACCGCCAUCCCCGGCCGCCCGGGAAGAGCAGAGCCGCGGCUCCGCUGGUGUCCAGAAGGUGCAGCAAGUGCUGACCCGCUCCAACAGCCUGUCCACCCCACGGCCCACGAGGGCCUCCCGGCUGAGGCGGGCCCGGCUGGGGGACGCCUCCGACACAGAGGCCGCAGAUGGUGAACGGGGGCCCCCGGCCAACCCCGAGCCAGUGGGGCGGCCAGCUGCCGAGCAGGCCAAGAAGCUGUCACGCCUGGACAUCCUGGCCCUGCCCCGGAAGCGGGCCGGCUCCUUCACGGGGCCCAGCGACUCCGAGGCGGCCCCCACCCGGCCUGGCUUCUCUGGCCGCAGCGCCGAGUUGUACUGCGCCGGCCGCAAGCCCAGCAUGGCCGAGGCUCGGGCCACUGCCAAGAAGGCCGCCAACACCACUGCAGCCCCCCGCCAGCCCUUCAGCAGGGCCCGCCCAGGCAGCGCCCGAUACGCCUCACCCAGAACCAAUUCACUCACCCAAGACGCGCGUCGCCGGCAGCAGGGCUCAGAUUGCACAUCCACAUCUGAGGAGGAGUAUGGCUCCCACCACGGCUCCCCCAAACACACACGCUCCCAUGCCUCAACAGCCACGCAGACCCCACGGGCUGGCAGCUCUGUCCGGGCCCGCCCCCGGGCCCCUGGCCUCCGGGACACAGAUGAUGAGGAAGAAGAGCCUGACCCCUACGGUUUCAUUGUGCAGACAGCCGAGAUUGCUGAGAUUGCCAGGGCCUGUGGAGGCUGCAGGGGGUGAGUGGCGAGUUUUGGUGCUGAGGAAGCUGAGCUUGAACAGGCUGAGCCAGACACUGGUGAAGGACGUGGCCAUCCUGGCCCGUGAGAUCCACGACGUGGCCGGGGAUGGGGACUCGCUGGGCUCGCCGGGGCCUGCCCGCAGCCCCUCCCUCAACAACGUCCCCAGCACCCCUGCCUCCACCAUCUCCGCCCGCGAGGAGCUGGUUCAGCGCAUCCCCGAGGCCAGCCUCAACUUCCAGAAGGUGCCGCCCGGCUCCUUGAGCUCCCGAGACCUGGACCAGAACAUGAACGACCGCUGCGAGGACCCCCUGGCCAACAAGACGCGGCCUCGGAACCGCGAGGAGGUGAUUUUCGACAACCUGAUGCUGAACCCCGUGUCCCAGCUGUCCCACGCCAUCCGUGAGAACACCGAGCACCUGGCCGAGAAGAUGAAGAUCCUCUUUCAGAACACGGGGCGCGCGUGGGAGGAGCUGGAAGCCAGGAUCAACGCGGAGCACGAGGUGCCCAUCCUGAAGACGUCCAACAAGGAGAUCAGCUCCAUCCUGAAAGAACUGAGGCGAGUGCAGAAGCAGCUGGAAGUCAUCAACGCCAUCGUGGACCCUGCUGGGAGCCUGGACGCGCUGCCUGGAAGCCGGGCCUCCGCAGGCCCGGCCCAGCUCGGGAAAGGCUGGCCCGCUGCCCAGAGCCCGUCGUCACCUGCCUCGGCCCUGCCGUCGAGAAGCGUGCCUCAGCGGGCAAACUGCGGGUCCCCUGGGCUCCCGGACCCCCCCUUCCUUCCCGACUCGGACAGGUUCCUGCUCUAGGUGUGGGGGCCGGGGCGGCCCCUGUGCCGUGGGUCCCCGGGCCGCCCCCCCACACCACCCGCUGCUGCGGCCAGUUCUCCACAAAGCCCCCACACGUGCCAUACCCCGCGGGUCCCCCCCCACUCUCAGGCACACCCCUGCUGGCUCCUGGCCCGGCUUCUGCCGUGGCCGAUGCCAAGGGCCAGCGUCGCGGGCGUGUGCCCAGUAUCCCCUCCAUUGCUGUCAUUUUUGUCUUUAGCUUUCAAGGGAAGAGUAGUUUGUGCCAUUGCGGGCACUCCUGGGCCUCGGAGGGUCCCGCCUCGCCGCACGGGCUGGGGGGACGGUGUACUCGCCCACCCUGAGCCUUUGUGCGGCCGGACCGGGUAGAGGAAGAGGGGCUGGGCAGUGCGGUCUUUCAGUGCCAAACGCAGACCUGGGGGCUUCGUGAUGCCCCAGGACUCGAGGGCAGAGUGCAGGCUGGUCAGGGCGCUGGCGGCUCCCAGCCACCCCAGAGUCCAGCGGCCCGGGACAGGGAUAUGGCCCGUGGGGACAUGUGGGGCAGGAACCCCACCGCUUCGAGCCUUUGGUGCCAACAUAACUGCCAAACUCAUGAGCGUGUGGGCCGGUGGCUGUGCACACGCCCGAGCACGCCCGCGCCUGCAGCUACCCCAGCACAGCUCCACACGCGGGCACGGCCAGUGAGCGUGCAGGGCCUUGGGUGCUGGCUUGCGACGGUCCUGGGCCAGGUGGAGGCAAGUCAAUGACCAAAGUGGCUGGAAACCCGGCUUCCAGAAGCUCCCUGGACCACACGCCCUCCCCUGGCCGCCCCCCACUCUCAGACGCGGGGAGCACUAAGUGGGCGCCUCCCAGGCUCUGUGCUCCCCAUCCCGAGAGGGUGGGGAGGACAGCCCCCCGGAACCCGUUUCGUUUUCUCAGGAUUCUCUCAGCUGGGAACAUGCCAGGCCAGCAGAGCUCGGCCCCUCCUGGGGUGGGGGUGGGGCUGAUGUUUCUGGAGCCUUUAAGCCAAAGAGCCUGUUGGCUGUGGCAGGUGGGGUGGGGGGGUGCCCACCUCCACCACCCUGGUGUGGGCGAGUCCUGCACCCCGCCUGGCAUCUGCGCAAAUGUUGACUGGACGGGACCAACGGCUGGGGGUGGGGUUGCCGAGGCUGCACGGGACGCUGGUGGCCGUGCGAGUCCCAGCCGUGCUGGGCGACACAAGUUUACGUUUGGCUGAGUGGAGCUGAGUGCAUGGAUCCUGUGCGUGUGAGUGGGGGCCCCUCCCGGCCCCGCCCGCGAGCCUGCUGUGUCCACGCAGAGGAGGUGCUAGUCCUGCUGCCCCCCACCCCCCGCAUGCCCCACGGCUGCCCACAGCCUGGCCCCCAGCACAAGCCGUGGCCGUCCGUCCACCACACCUCCAUCCACAGCCCCCGGAGGAUCGCUGUACGAGUUUUUUAUUCACAAGUCUUCUCCCCACCGCCCCCCCCAGCCUUCGCCUUGGGAUCGGUUAACUUAUUUGUCUGGCUUCUUGGAGGCACCUCUGUGCGUUUGUCCUCAGGUGGUCUUAUGGAUGUCUUUCAGAAAAUGGUUAUUUUAUAUGAUUUGUCAUGGAAUUUGUUCUAAUAAAUCAUUCUUCUAUCAUGUGGCAACAUGC
Non-coding RNA from Sus scrofa (pig), 6684 nucleotides. The record is from RefSeq and is a predicted model, not a curated record. Lineage: Eukaryota; Metazoa; Chordata; Mammalia; Artiodactyla; Suidae.